GGUAAUACAAUUACCCAGCCACCAUAGCCAAAGAGCUCUAACCCCUAUCCACGUGAGAAUUGGGUAAGAACACAAUUACCAGAAGGAAAAAAAAAAGCAGAAAUAGAAAUAUAGAAUUACACAAUCCCUUAGUUUCCAUUUCGGAAAUAACGGAAGCCUGAUAAACGCAAGAAAAUUUUCCUUUCUUCCCCCUUUUCUUCUUGCUACCUGCAAAACCCUAGCUCUCCCUCCUUUUUUUUCAUCAUUUUUCUUAUCUCUUGUUUUUAUUUGCUCUGUAUUUACCAGCUUCAUUCUGUGACGCAAUUAUAUUAUGUCAGAGCUUCCAAACUGAUGAAAUCAUCCUGUUGAAGAUGCAUUUUGUCUUGUUGGAAUUUGGAGAGGGUUACUUUGUGAAGGGUUUGCGGUCUGUGUCUGACAACUUUCUUUUGAAGAGAAGAAAGCUUAGCCUAUUUCCAUUUCAUCAGCACUUUUAAGGUUGCUUAUUGCAAAGGCCCAUAAAUAAUCUUGCCAGUUCGAUCUCCUCAUGUUAGAAGGCCGUAUGGCGGUCGUCAAACCAGAGAUGAAGUCCUACAUUUGGCUCCAAACUGCUGAUGGAUCGAUCCAACAAGUAGAGGAAGAGGUUGCCAUGUUUUGCCCAAUGAUAUGCAGAGAAGUACUUCAAACUGGCACAGGAUCCUCGAAAAAUUGUGCAAUAUCACUUCCUCAACGAGUCAAUACAGCUAUUCUGGGCUUAAUACUGGAUUAUUGUCGGUUUCAUCAAGUUCCUGGCCGUUCUAAUAAGGAGCGCAAGACUUUUGAUGAAAAGUUCAUCCGGUUAGACACCAAGAAGUUAUGUGAGCUGACAUCUGCUGCUGACAGCCUUCAACUGAGGCCUCUGGUUGACCUUACAAGUCGUGCACUUGCUCGGAUGAUUGAAGGCAAAACUCCCGAGGAAAUACGUGAAACUUUUCAUUUACCUGAUGAUCUAACAGAGGAGGAGAAGUUGGAACCUUUGAGAAAUAUGACCGAUGAUCCACGCAUACGCCUUCUCAAUCGACUUUAUGCAAGGAAAAGGAAAGAAUUAAAAGAAAGAGAGAAAUUAAAGAAUGUUGAGGUAGAAGAAGAGCAGCAUGUGGAUGACCGAUCAGUUGAUGAUCUUCUUUCGUUCAUAAAUGGGGAAGAUGAAGAUUCUAAGGGUGUAAGAACAACAAAGAGUAAAAAGAAAAAUAGGAGGAGAAAAGAACAAGCUAAGAAUUCCUCAACAAAUAAUGAAACUGGUAACCAUAAUCAGGAAUCUAGCUUUCCUGCAUCUAGCUGCCUGAAUGGUGGUGUUCCUUCUCCAAGUAAACCUUCUGAUCUGCAAGACCCUGCAUUUGAUGAAGGCGAUAUUGACGAUGAAUUAGAUCCUGUAAUGAAGGAAGAAAUUGACAGGGACCAUCCAGUUAUUUCCCCCUCCCCCAGUGGCAAUCAAACCCUUCAUGCCAGCAUGGGCUGCUGUGGCUUUUUUAGGGGAGGUUGAGGAUUUUGCUAGGAGACUGAACUCUGUUUGGCCAGAAAGAAUGCAGGAGAUUUUGUCUUUGGGUCAAGAGAGGAGGCCUGUACCACUAUCUGUGAAUGGGAAUGGUUCCCUAUAUACAGGUUUGGAUGGGAGAUAAUGGUUCAAAUAGUGGAUGAUGAAUCUUUUGGAUUCAGUCGAGCUUAACAUGCCAGCUUUCUGUGUCUACUGUUGCCACUAAAGACGGUAACAAUUCAGUGUUUAUUGCUUGUAAAAUUCUUUCGACUAGUCGAGCUGCCAAAAGUGAUUUCUAAUCCUGGGGAAAUGACCUGAAUGGCUGAAGUUUAGGGGAAUUUCGAGAUACAAGGAAGUUCUGUUGUAUGUGGUUUCAUGGUAACCACCAUUUCAUUUGUCCUGCAUUUCCAGAUACAAGUUCCAAUUUUGCAAAAUUUUCCCAAUCUUAGAUUUGUUUUCCUAUUCUUUAAUAAUUUAGUUCAAAUUAAGCUGUGUUAGUUUUUCACUCAUUUUUUGUUUUGGUCUUUCAAUUUAAUGUUUCUUGGGUCUUUUCCGCGUCAUGAGGAAUAUAAUAUGAGCAUUUUUGCCAUGAAAUGGCUUAAGUGCUUGUGGGUUCUAUGCUUCAAUUCCGUAUCAAAAUGUCGUGUAACUGUGUAUGUAAAUUUUGUACCUUUGUUAUUUCUUAUUGAUAUUAAAUUUAGUGGAUAAAGUUUCCUCUUCUUGA
Nicotiana attenuata is the source of this 2213-nucleotide RNA transcript. It is a transcript of the gene named SKP1-like protein 21, with no coding region annotated. The transcript is spliced from 11 exons. Lineage: Eukaryota; Viridiplantae; Streptophyta; Magnoliopsida; Solanales; Solanaceae. The record is from RefSeq and is a predicted model, not a curated record.